CGGAAGGUCCGGGCGUUAUCCGGAUUUAUUGGGUUUAAAGGGAGCGUAGGCCGGAGAUUAAGCGUGUUGUGAAAUGUAGAACGCUCACGUCUGCACUGCAGCGCGAACUGGUUUCCUUGAGUACGGCACAAAAGUGGGCGGAAUUCGUGGUGUAGCGGUGAAAUGCUUAGAUAUCACGAAGAACUCCGAUUGCGAAGGCAGCUCACUGGAGCGCAACUGACGCUGAAGCUCGAAAGUGCGGGUAUCGA
Molecule: ribosomal RNA, 248 nt
Filed under: uncultured bacterium
Lineage: Bacteria
Description: partial 16S ribosomal RNA
Rfam family: Bacterial small subunit ribosomal RNA
Source: RNAcentral